AGGCGAUCGAGCGAACUGUGGUUAAGGAACUCGGCAAAAUGCCCCCGUAACUUCGGGAGAAGGGGGGCCAUCCACUUAUACCGUCUUGCACGGAAAAGGGUGUGGUGGCCGCAGAGACUAGUGGGUAGCGACUGUUUACUAAAAACACAGGUCCGUGCCAAGUCGCAAGACGAUGUAUACGGACUGACGCCUGCCCGGUGCUGGAAGGUUAAGAGGACCGGUUAGCCGCAAGGCGAAGCUGAGAAUUUAAGCCCCAGUAAACGGCGGUGGUAACUAUAACCAUCCUAAGGUAGCGAAAUUCCUUGUCGGGUAAGUUCCGACCUGCACGAAUGGCGUAACGACUUCCCCGCUGUCUCGACCACAGACUCGGCGAAAUUGCACUACGAGUAAAGAUGCUCGUUACGCGCGGCAGGACGGAAAGACCCCGGGACCUUUACUAUAGUUUGGUAUUGGUGUUUGGCACGGCUUGUGUAGGAUAGGUGGGAGACUGUGAAGCCAUCACGCCAGUGAUGGUGGAGUCAACGUUGAAAUACCACUCUGGUCGUACUAGAUAUCUAACCUAGGUCCGUGAUCCGGAUCAGGGACAGUGCCUGAUGGGUAGUUUAACUGGGGCGGUUGCCUCCUAAAAUGUAACGGAGGCGCUCAAAGGUUCCCUCAGCCUGGUUGGCAAUCAGGUGGCGAGUGUAAGUGCACAAGGGAGCUUGACUGUGAGACUGACAGGUCGAGCAGGGACGAAAGUCGGGACUAGUGAUCCGGCAGUGGCUUGUGGAAGCGCUGUCGCUCAACGGAUAAAAGGUACCUCGGGGAUAACAGGCUGAUCUUGCCCAAGAGUCCAUAUCGACGGCAUGGUUUGGCACCUCGAUGUCGGCUCGUCGCAUCCUGGGGCUGGAGUAGGUCCCAAGGGUUGGGCUGUUCGCCCAUUAAAGCGGUACGCGAGCUGGGUUUAGAACGUCGUGAGACAGUUCGGUCCCUAUCCGCUGCGCGCGUAGGAAGUUUGAGAGGAUCUGACCCUAGUACGAGAGGACCGGGUUGGACGAACCUCUGGUGUGUCAGUUGUUCCGCCAGGAGCACCGCUGAUUAGCUACGUUCGGGAUGGAUAACCGCUGAAAGCAUCUAAGCGGGAAGCCGGCCUCAAGAUGAGACUUCCAUGCCUUCGGGCGAGAGGCUCCCAGCCAGACUACUGGGUUGAUAGGCCAGAUGUGGAAGCGCAGCAAUGCGUGCAGCUGACUGGUACUAAUAAGCCGAUGACUUGAUAAC
This 1257-nucleotide ribosomal RNA is filed under the name soil metagenome. RNAcentral's name for it is "bacterial LSU rRNA". It matches the Rfam family "Bacterial large subunit ribosomal RNA", at positions 1684 to 2925 of the family's 2925-position model. The record is from RNAcentral.